Ribosomal RNA from Rhododendron vialii, 119 nucleotides. NCBI's taxonomy places the organism in Eukaryota, Viridiplantae, Streptophyta, Magnoliopsida, Ericales, Ericaceae. The record is from RefSeq and is a predicted model, not a curated record.
AGGUGCGAUCAUACUAGCAUUAAUAUACCACAUCUCAUAAGAACUUCGCAAUUAAGCGUGCUGAGGCGAGAGUAGUACUAGGAUGGGUGACCUUCUAGGAAGUCCUCGUGUUGCACCCC